UACCUUAAGACAAAAAUAAUUUAAGGCAAGCCCUGCCCAGUGAAAUCUUCAACGGCCGCGGUAUCCUAACCGUGCAAAGGUAGCAUAAUAACUUGCCUAUUAAUUAUAGGAUAGAAUGAAAGGGUAAACGAAAUAGGAGCUGUCUCUAUUAGCCCAAUGAAAAUUAUUUUUUAACUGAAGAAAGUUAAAUUCAACUGAAGGACAAGAAGACCCUAUAGAGCUUAAUUUAACCUACUAAAUAAGUAAAAAUUAAAUUCGGUUGGGGCGACCGAUGCUCUACAAAUCAUCACCCACAAAAAGAAAUAUACAUCUUAAAAAAGACCCUGACCCAGAUCAAAAAAACAAGCUACCUUAGGGAUAACAGGCUAAUCUCAUUAAUGAGUCCCCAUCUAUAAUGUUGGUUGGCACCUCGAUGUUGGCUUAGGGAAUCAAAAGGGCGCAGAAGCUUUUUAAGACGGUUUGUUCAACCAUUAAACCCCUA
RNAcentral lists this ribosomal RNA (481 nucleotides) under Pontoscolex corethrurus complex sp. L1. RNAcentral describes it as "partial small subunit ribosomal RNA". It matches the Rfam family "Bacterial large subunit ribosomal RNA", at positions 1827 to 2598 of the family's 2925-position model. The record is from RNAcentral. Lineage: Eukaryota; Metazoa; Annelida; Clitellata; Crassiclitellata; Glossoscolecidae.